This 33-nucleotide ribosomal RNA is filed under the name Apostichopus japonicus (Japanese sea cucumber). RNAcentral describes it as "partial 18S ribosomal RNA". The record is from RNAcentral. Lineage: Eukaryota; Metazoa; Echinodermata; Holothuroidea; Aspidochirotida; Stichopodidae.
AAAGCCGUCACAGAGAGACACGCGGAGAGAGCA